ACGAGCUUCUAGCUUAAAACCCAAAGGACUUGACGGUACCCCACCCUACUAGAGGAGCCUGUUCUGUAAUCGAUAACCCACGAUAUACCAAACCAUUUCUUGCCUCAGCCUGUAUACCUCCGUCGUAAGCUUACCCUGUAAAUGCACUUAGUAGGCUCAAAGGCCCAACACCCAAACGUCAGGUCAAGGUGCAGCCUAUGAAAUGGAAGCUAUGGGCUACAAUUUCUAACUUAGAACUAAUCAAAAUACUAUAUGAAACAUAGUCAUAAAGAAGGAUUUAGCAGUAAAUAAGGAAUAGAGAGCCUUAUUAAACCUGAGCUCUGGGGUAUGUACACACC
This 338-nucleotide ribosomal RNA is filed under the name Pseudophilautus amboli. Its description in RNAcentral is "partial 12S ribosomal RNA". It matches the Rfam family "Bacterial small subunit ribosomal RNA", at positions 882 to 1391 of the family's 1533-position model. The record is from RNAcentral. Lineage: Eukaryota; Metazoa; Chordata; Amphibia; Anura; Rhacophoridae.